Molecule: long non-coding RNA, 750 nt
Filed under: Citrus sinensis (sweet orange)
Lineage: Eukaryota; Viridiplantae; Streptophyta; Magnoliopsida; Sapindales; Rutaceae
Description: long non-coding RNA (CSIN_LNC002886)
Source: RNAcentral
GAACGUGCAAUCAGAAAUUGUGCACUGCAGAUGGGCAAUGUUAGGAGCUGCAGGAAUUUUCAUUCCGGAAUUGUUAACAAAACUUGGAAUCCUCAACACUCCAUCCUGGUACACAGCUGGGGAGCUAGAGUACUUCACAGACACCACCACCCUGUUCAUUGUUGAGAUGAUAUUCAUAGGCUGGGCAGAGGGCAGACGGUGGGCCGACAUUAUAAAGCCAGGCUGUGUGAACACUGACCCGAUCUUCCCCAACAACAAGCUCACCGGCACCGAUGUUGGGUACCCAGGUGGGCUUUGGUUUGACCCACUUGGCUGGGGAUCCGGUUCGCCCGAGAAGGUAAAGGAGCUGAGGACUAAGGAGAUCAAGAAUGGAAGAUUGGCUAUGUUGGCUGUGAUGGGUGCUUGGUUCCAGCACAUUUACACCGGCACCGGCCCCAUUGACAAUCUCAUUGCUCACCUUGCUGAUCCUGGUCAUGCCACCGUUUUUGCUGUAAGUUAAUUACAGCACCUAGCACUCUACUCAUUGUAUGUAUCCAAUUAAGUGUUAAUUAUAUUUAUUUACUAAUUGGCGAUGAUGCUUUGUGGUUAAUUUGAUUCAGGCCUUCACCCCCAAGUGAGAUGAUGACGAACAAAGGGAGAGAAAUUUGGGCCAAGUGGAAGCUUGAGAUCAAAGGAAUUGGUGUUUCUCUUAGGGAAAGGUUGUAUGAUUAGAACUUGUAUUAAUUGCCUCUAUCUAUGUACAAAGACUUG